This 2292-nucleotide long non-coding RNA is filed under the name Aquilegia coerulea. RNAcentral describes it as "long non-coding RNA (ACOE_LNC001749)". The record is from RNAcentral. Lineage: Eukaryota; Viridiplantae; Streptophyta; Magnoliopsida; Ranunculales; Ranunculaceae.
AGAUUCUCUGUAUGCAAAAAACAACUUUCCAAAAUAACAUUUUUCUUUUCUGUUCAAACCUAUAUUUUCAUUUCUUACAUACCCUGACAUCAAAACAACAAAAUAACUUGCUCAAACCUACAUUUCUAUUUCUUACAUAACCUGACAUCAAAACAACUUCAACAUAAUUGUUCAAACCUAUAUAACCUGAGAUCAAAAUAACAAAAUUAACUUGGUAAGCAUUUUCCAUUCUCCCAACAACAAAAUAUAGGAUAUUUGCAUCCUUUACAUCUCAAUCAAUGACACAUAAAACAACACAAGUUGUCAUCGUCUCCAUGGGGGUAUAGAAGAUGAGGCUUGGCUGCUCUGUUGAGAAGAUGAUUGCCCAAAAGACGAAACUCCAAGUAACCUAGCUAACUGGGUCUGAGAAAGGGUAGAGUUACCUCUGAAAGAGAAUACACUUGGAGGCUUGAAAAUCUUCCUUGCCUGAGGUUGUGGCAUACUUUCAGGUCCACUUGGUCUUGAUUUCUUGAAUGGGACAUUGACGGCUGGAGGAACAUGUUGUACUUGUUCUGAAUGACUUGUUCUUGGUGUAACAUGUUGUACUUGUUCUGAAUGACUUGUUCUUAAUGUAAAUGCCCUCUUUCUUCCACUAGUACCAUUGCUUCCAGCUCCCCUAUUUCCAGCUUUUCUGUUUGUAGCAUUUGAUCAAUCACAUGGCAUAGGCAAUUUUCCUUUGGCUUUUGAUCUUGUCAAUGUUCUUACAGAUGCUGAUUGUAACCUACUCACAGGUGACUUUGACUGAGAAAUGUGCACUUGUUUUCUUGUACCCUUGUUCCUUGUACUUUUCCCUGUCCUUGGUGGAGUGCCAGCUUCUUGUGGAAGAGGUGCAGCAGUUUGUACUUGUGGAAGAGGUACAACAUUUUGAGAUUCAACAUUACCUUGAGGUGCAGUAGUUUGUACUUAUGGAGCAUUUACCUUCUAAAUCACUGGGUCUCUUGCCUUCCAUCUUGAGUUCGAACCUCUUCUUGGUGGAUUGGCAACAUGAGAAACACCCUCAUUACCUUGUCUAUUCACUGUUGCAGCUGGAGGUCUUGCUCUUAGAUGAAGUUUAGGCCUUCCUCAUUUGUUUCUAGGCUCACCUCUUCUUUUUCUUGGAGGAUCAUUUGGAGUCCCACGUUGACAUAGUAACAUUCUUCAUAUUGAUUAUUAAUAAACAUUCAUACUUUAAACAAUCACAUAGUAAAAUAAACAUUCACCUUUUAAAAUAUUGUACUCACCUUGACAUGUUCUGAUAUUGUGGUUGUAACCCCCACAACCACUACACCUAUUGUUCACUUGCUCAGUAGCAGGUUUACUCUCAUUUGCACCCCUAAUCCUGUUUACUCUAGGUCGGCCAGGUGCUCUUGGUCUCAGAGGUGGGUAAAUCUCUUCAUUAUUCUACAAAAAACAUACAAAAAUAUUAUUGCAAGUAUAGUCAAAUACAUAUAUAAAAGAAUGUUUGUUAUAAAACUAACCUCAGGCCAAUCAGAAUCCCCUAGAAUUGGAUAUAUACAACUACUGUAAGCCUUCUUGUAAGUUUCAAUCUGUGAUCUCACUUACAACCUCUUGCUCAACCCUUGUAUCACUACCUACCUCUUUCUUAGCUAUUCUAUCACUGUCAAUCUCUUUCUCAACUAAUCUAUCACUGAUAACCUCAUCUCUAUCUACAACAACAUCAUCAAAUUGUUCCUCCUCAUAAUCAUCAUCAUCAUCACUUUGAAAAAAAAGGAACUUCAUACUCAUUGCCAUCACCAACAUUAUCAAUAUCAUAUUCCCUUUGUCCUCCAUUAUCAGUUGUUACUAAAAUAACAUUAUUCUCAAUCCAAAAUCACCAACAACAUCUGUCAAAAUCAAUUACUUAUAUAAAUAACUAUUCAGCAUGAAAUUUAGAGUAUUCAACAAGUUGUAAAAACUUAACAAUGAGAAAAUAUAUAAAGUUUCAAUUUCAUAGAACAAACAAGAUGAACAUAUAUAAACUUACCUUUUUCCUGCAGCACAAUUUUUCUCAACCAAUAAAUCCCCAAGUUGCUUCUCAAGUGGACAGUUAGCAACUUCUGAAAACAUCAAGAGAGGAUCUGUGAGAGCUUGCUUAUAUUCAUAACAUUCAGAAAUGUAGAAAUUGAGGUUGAAUUUGAACUCUUGCCACUUUGUAGAAGUAGUAAGAGUUUGAAGUAUGCAGUCCACUACCAACAUAGUGGUCCCCUCCACUUUUGGUACUUUACUUGCCUUUUUCCGCAUCACUUAAAAUAUGUAUUCUAUUGGGAGAUGAGG